GGGAGCUCUCCCAUAUGGUCGACCUGCAGGCGGCCGCGAAUUCACUAGUGAUUAGAGUUUGAUCAUGGCUCAGAACGAACGCUGGCGGCAUGCCUAACACAUGCAAGUCGAACGAGAUCUUCGGAUCUAGUGGCGCACGGGUGCGUAACGCGUGGGAAUCUGCCCUUGGGUUCGGAAUAACAGUGAGAAAUUACUGCUAAUACCGGAUGAUGUCUUCGGACCAAAGAUUUAUCGCCCAGGGAUGAGCCCGCGUAGGAUUAGGUAGUUGGUGGGGUAAUGGCCUACCAAGCCGACGAUCCUUAGCUGGUCUGAGAGGAUGAUCAGCCACACUGGGACUGAGACACGGCCCAGACUCCUACGGGAGGCAGCAGUGGGGAAUAUUGGACAAUGGGCGAAAGCCUGAUCCAGCAAUGCCGCGUGAGUGAUGAAGGCCUUAGGGUUGUAAAGCUCUUUUACCAGGGAUGAUAAUGACAGUACCUGGAGAAUAAGCUCCGGCUAACUCCGUGCCAGCAGCCGCGGUAAUACGAAUCGAAUUCCCGCGGCCGCCAUGGCGGCCGGGAGCA
Molecule: ribosomal RNA, 563 nt
Filed under: uncultured Alphaproteobacteria bacterium
Lineage: Bacteria; Pseudomonadati; Pseudomonadota; Alphaproteobacteria
Description: bacterial SSU rRNA
Rfam family: Bacterial small subunit ribosomal RNA
Source: RNAcentral